UAAUUAAUCCUAAAACCAUCCCUUGUCCCAGCCCUUAAUUCCUUUGGACACUGGCCUCUGAAAAUGCAUUUGUUAAAAACAAAACUAACACUUAAAAACCUUCCCUUUGUAUUGUGAAACAGCCACAUAAUGCCUCCCGACUCUAGUGGAUGACUGCUUACUAUGAUAAUUCCUCUGAAGAACCAGCCAGAUUUUUGUCAUCAGUGAGAGGGAUUGGGGAAGAAAAUAGCAUCAUCCUAUUGGCAGUGUAAUUUGUUUGUUUCUUAUCUGAGCAUCACUCGGAUGCUCAGUGCUAGGUUAAUCCAUCUGAACUACCUUUUGCACAUUUUUUUUUUGAAACCUUAACAGGAACUUGAUGGGUUUGCUGUAGCAGCUUCCCUGUGAAUUCUGUCCAAGCUGUAACAGCUACUGUACUGCCACUCACUGUUUCCUAGGGAACUCUUUCUUCUCCCAUGUUGGCUCAGUCUCCCUCACUCCAGCCCUGGGUUUGAAAUAUUAGUUGUGAAUUCCCAGGAAAUAUUAUUCCAUUUGCAGAUUAAGCCUGAUACUUAGCUGUCAGAAACCAGAGCUCUGCCUACUUAACUUUCUCAAAGUUUUCUAAAAGAAAACUAAUGAAAUGCUUGGGAAUGUAGGAGCAGCUGGUGAUCUGCCUUCUUCCUUCUCAUGGUAACUUUUUACAAAUGAGUCGUCCACUAUUUUAUAAAGAAUCCAGAGAUCUCUGGCUCUGCCAUAGCAACAACCUGCUGUUAAUUUAUGACACAGAUUUUUGUUUGGAGGAGCCUUAUUUGACAAUAUCCUUUUCAUUUAUUUUCUAGACUAUUGAUGUUCUUUUCUUGCUUACUCCAGGGUUGGUAGCAUAGUUGGAAGUGCCAGCACCUGGCAUUCAGAUAGAACAGGCUGUACUCAAGACAACCUUCAGCAUUUACUUUAAGACCUAUAUAAUUUAUUUCUCUUUUGUAUAUACUAUAGUCUUGUGCCUAUGUAGUUGAACAAACAGUGGAAUAUAUGUCUCUCUUUGUGGAUGUGUGGCCUAAAACUUUGAAUGUCUGACGAGAGAGAGCCGUGUGUAUAGGUCAGAGACAAGAAUAGCUCUCAACUCCUGAUGAGUGCCUGUGAUUCGUUUGCUGUGUGUUUACCUGGCCUAGUGUGCUGUUACCUUCAAACAGGAAGAAGUUUUACCUUCCGAGGCCCUUCUCUCCUGUCCGGUCUGGCAUGUCAGAGAACACUUAACCUGUGACAGUGCCCUUUUAAGCAGUUUACUUCAUUGGCAGUAAAUCUAGUUGCCUCAAAAAGUCCUACAUCAAGAUGGACUUUUCCUUUCCAGAAAUGGGAUCUAGUAUCUGCUCACUUUGGAACUGGGUGGACUAUUUUAACGUGGCUCCCAAAAUGCAAGGAUGGAAGAAAUCUGUAAGCCAAGCCAAGGAGGAAGUGCAAAGAAAGUAAACCUGCUGUUUUUGCCACCCCUUUCUGUUUGCUUGUCAUCGGUAGCUUUACUGUGCAUAAAGUUGUUUUGAAUGCAAUGCUUGUCAAAUAAAUAUUAUGAACCAUUUUGUAAAUGAAAUGUAUUAUGUUGAAAGCCGUCAGCAGUUCCAAAAUAAGCUUUUUUGUUGUUUGAAGACAAAGUGUGUUAGAUGAAACCAAAAAGCCAAAAAAAAGGUAAUUUCGUAUAUAGCACCUGACUAUACCUUGGGUCACUCUUCUGGAAUAUUUUGACUUUAGACUGUGUCACAGGCAGAAAAGGAGUUGAUGGAGAAUGGACUCUUAAAAACUGACGUGUUUGAAUCAGUGCUAGAGGGAACAGAUUGUGAAUUUUGUUUACAGCAUCCAAUAUUUGGAUUUUUUUGGUUUUUGUAAAUAAAAAGAAGUUAUUUUUUUCUA
This 1878-nucleotide long non-coding RNA is filed under the name Equus caballus (horse). Its description in RNAcentral is "lncRNA (ENSECAG00000044187.1)". The record is from RNAcentral. Lineage: Eukaryota; Metazoa; Chordata; Mammalia; Perissodactyla; Equidae.